GGCUCGAUGGCGGACGGUCCGCGGUUGCCCACAGUUUGGGCUGACAUAUAUAUCUCAUGUGCGCAAGAGAUGCCCGUUCAACUCGGGCUCGAGCCA
Molecule: non-coding RNA, 96 nt
Organism: Mycena belliarum
Lineage: Eukaryota; Fungi; Basidiomycota; Agaricomycetes; Agaricales; Mycenaceae
Source: the annotation of a GenBank genome assembly